GAACCUUUUCUACACUCGCUGUCACUCAGGCUGUCUCCUGUAUUUCUCGGACAUUUCUCAGAGCACUGCAGAAGCUUUGAUGUAAUUGGCUAAGAAUACUCCAGGGCACUGAACACUAUUUUCAAGGUGGUGGAGCCAGGAGCACACCUGGAACAGCAGGACUUCAGUCAGUCCCAACAGGUAGAAGAGGAAACUGAAGAUUGAACUCACAUAUGCUGGAUGGAACCUGAUGGAAAAAACUGCACACUGUCAGUAGCACAGCGUUAUUGUUCUGCGUAAAAUGACUGAAUGUGUUUUGAUCAAGCAGAAAUUAAAAAGAGUUCAGAGAUGACCUAUGCAUGAAGUACAAGAGGACUAUGAGUCACAGUCAAGCUGUACAAGUUCAUUCAAUGAAGUGUUCCAAUCUGUAACAGACCAACUAUUAAUUGAAUUCACUGCCUUGGUUGAAGAUUCCUCCACUGUUU
Columba livia (rock pigeon) is the source of this 464-nucleotide long non-coding RNA. RefSeq lists it as uncharacterized. The transcript is spliced from 4 exons. NCBI's taxonomy places the organism in Eukaryota, Metazoa, Chordata, Aves, Columbiformes, Columbidae. The record is from RefSeq and is a predicted model, not a curated record.